Molecule: unclassified non-coding RNA, 264 nt
Filed under: Hevea brasiliensis (rubber tree)
Lineage: Eukaryota; Viridiplantae; Streptophyta; Magnoliopsida; Malpighiales; Euphorbiaceae
Source: RNAcentral
CGCGCUGGAGCCAAGCGUCGGCGCAGCUUAUUUCUGGCUGGUGCUGGUGCGCGGCGGCCGCGACCUGCAAACCCAUUCGCUCGAAGACUGGAUGGAGCGCGGUUACGGCGCGCUGCGAGUGAUGGAAAAUCACCUCAAGACCAACGACUAUUUCGCCGCCGGACAUCUGACCGUCGCGGACAUCGCGAUGUAUGGCUACACCCACGUCGCCAACCAGUGCGACUUCGACCUGUCGGGCUAUCCGUCGGUGCGGGCCUGGCUGAA